Molecule: RNA transcript, 1761 nt
Organism: Antechinus flavipes (yellow-footed antechinus)
Lineage: Eukaryota; Metazoa; Chordata; Mammalia; Dasyuromorphia; Dasyuridae
Exons: 4
Source: RefSeq, a predicted model, not a curated record
CUGCUUAGGAGUUAGAACCCAAGAAUCCCCAUCUUCCCCGGGAGCUGGCAGAGGUCUGGCUCCAGUCUAGAUCUAGGGCUGCCACCAUGGCUGGAGAGGGGAGCUGAAGUUGUUUCAAGGCCUUUACUCCCAGAUGCCUGGUGAAGGAGGAUGGGAAGGAGGGACGGGGGCCUACCCCCUCUCCAUCCCGUGGUGCAGGUGGCAUUCAAGGCUUUCCUUCUCCACCACCACCAUCACCACCACCCUUGUCCAGAGAGGGCACUUCUAGAGCUGCUCUGUCCGCUUGCAGUCAGGGUCAAAGAGACAGAGCAGAAACAGGCCGAGGCAGCAAGCAAGGGGACGCAAAGAGAGAUGGACCACGGGAGGGAUGGACCACGGGAUGGAUCACGGGAAGGAUGCAGGGAGCAGUAAAGGAUCAAAGAAGGGCAGGGCGGACAGAAGAUGGCCCGGAGGACACUGAGGGAGGCAGCUUAUCAAGAUCUGUUUGGAUCCCGAUUCUGUCACUCACCUCCUCUGUCCCCAUACUCACUGUGAACUUGUUCUGAAAAUCUUUUGAAUGCCACAGAGAAAAGUUAUCAUUUUAAAGAGACCACUUUGCUACCAACACACUCCUGUGCUAUCUAUAGUUUGCUUUCUGUCUUUUACACCUUUGGCAUGUAUGACAGGCUGAGAUGCAUGAACCUACCCAGAAAGUGGGACUGGAUGUGGCCACAUAGAUAUCAAGGGAUGCUACACCAAGGAUUGAGAAAAAAAGGCUAUAAUGAAUGGAUGCCCAUCAAUUGGAGAAUGGUUGAGUAAAUUGUGGUAUAUGAAUGUUAUGGAAUAUUAUUGUUCUGUAAGAAAUGACCAGCAGGAUGAAUACAGAGAGGACUGGCGAGACUUACAUGAACUGAUGCUAAGUGAAAUGAGCAGAACCAGGAGAUCAUUAUACACUUCGACAACGAUAUUGUAUGAGGAUGUAUUCUGAUGGAAGUGGAUUUCUCUGACAAAGAGACUUAACUGAGUUUCAAUUGAUAAAUGAUGGACAGAAGCAGCUACACCCAAAGAAAGAACACUGGGAAACGAAUGUGAACUAUUUGCAUUUUUGUUUUUCUUCCCAGGUUAUUUAUACCUUCUGAAUCCAAUUCUCCCUGUGCAACAAGAGAACUGUUCGGUUCUGCAAACGUAUAUUGUAUCUAGGAUAUACUGUAACCUAUUCAACAUGUAAAGGACUGCUUGCCAUCUAGGGGAAGAGGUGGAGGGAGGGAGAGGAAAAAUCGGAACAGAAACGAGUGCAAGGGAUAAUGUUGUAAAAAAAAUUACCCUGGCAUGGAUUCUGUCAAUAUAAAGUAAUUAUUAAAUAAAAAUUUUAAAAAAGAGAAAAAAAGGCUAUAGACAUUAUAGACAUACAAAAACAACUAUGGAUAACACAGAACUUUGCAAAUUGUCAGUAGGAUACCUCUAUAUUUGUAAACAAGCACCAUUAUUCAGUCAAGCAAGUCUAAAUUAGUUCAUAUACAAUGGCAUUGGGAAAUGGGAAAACAGCAUCAUUCUGAGAGGUCUCAUCAGCCUUGAGACUCCACCUCAUCAUGCCCUCUGUUCUUCUAAUAUUCUUCUAAUAGAGCCAUGACCUCUUAGAACGCCAAUGUAGGAGGGAGCUUAGCUGAGAAGAUCUCAUUUCUUACCCAACUGCACUACCCAGGACUUCUCUAACUUUUCCACUCUGCCCCUGCAUCAGGCACCUUCCCCACCCCCUUUUUCUGCUUCUUUUUGUAUGUUGCC